GACGGGGCCCGCACAAGCGGUGGAGUAUGUGGUUUAAUUCGAUGCAACGCGAAGAACCUUACCUGGUCUUGACAUCCCGGAGACCCUUAGGAAACUAGGGGGUGCUUCCAUCUGGAAGAAUCUGGAGACAGGUGCUGCAUGGCUGUCGUCAGCUCGUGUCGUGAGAUGUUGGGUUAAGUCCCGCAACGAGCGCAACCCUUGCCUUUAGUUGCCAGCAGUUCGGCUGGGCACUCUAAAGGGACUGCCGGUGUUAAACCGGAGGAAGGUGGGGAUGACGUCAAGUCCUCAUGGCCUUUAUGACCAGGGCUACACACGUACUACAAUGGCCGAUACAAAGGGCAGCGACACUGCGAGGUGAAGCCAAUCCCGUAAAAUCGGUCUCAGUCCGGAUUGGAGUCUGCAACUCGACUCCAUGAAGUUGGAAUCGCUAGUAAUCGUGGAUCAGCAUGCCACGGUGAAUACGUUCUCGGGCCUU
RNAcentral lists this ribosomal RNA (475 nucleotides) under uncultured Desulfobulbus sp. Its description in RNAcentral is "bacterial SSU rRNA". It matches the Rfam family "Bacterial small subunit ribosomal RNA", at positions 916 to 1381 of the family's 1533-position model. Lineage: Bacteria; Pseudomonadati; Thermodesulfobacteriota; Desulfobulbia; Desulfobulbales; Desulfobulbaceae. The record is from RNAcentral.